RNAcentral lists this transfer RNA (73 nucleotides) under Candidatus Nanopusillus sp. Its description in RNAcentral is "tRNA-Ile". It matches the Rfam family "tRNA". From Rfam's summary of the family: Transfer RNA (tRNA) molecules are approximately 80 nucleotides in length. The record is from RNAcentral. Lineage: Archaea; Nanobdellati; Nanobdellota; Candidatus Nanoarchaeia; Nanoarchaeales; Nanopusillaceae.
GGGCCCGUAGCUCAGAGGUUAGAGCGCCGGCCUUAUAAGCCGGAGGUCCGGGGUUCGAAUCCCCGCGGGCCCA